Molecule: ribosomal RNA, 758 nt
Filed under: Klebsiella michiganensis
Lineage: Bacteria; Pseudomonadati; Pseudomonadota; Gammaproteobacteria; Enterobacterales; Enterobacteriaceae
Description: bacterial SSU rRNA
Rfam family: Bacterial small subunit ribosomal RNA
Source: RNAcentral
GUUUUGAUCAUGGCUCAGAUUGAACGCUGGCGGCAGGCCUAACACAUGCAAGUCGAACGGUAGCACAGAGAGCUUGCUCUCGGGUGACGAGUGGCGGACGGGUGAGUAAUGUCUGGGAAACUGCCUGAUGGAGGGGGAUAACUACUGGAAACGGUAGCUAAUCCCGCAUAACGUCGCAAGACCAAAGAGGGGGACCUUCGGGCCUCUUGCCAUCAGAUGUGCCCAGAUGGGAUUAGCUAGUAGGUGGGGUAACGGCUCACCUAGGCGACGAUCCCUAGCUGGUCUGAGAGGAUGACCAGCCACACUGGAACUGAGACACGGUCCAGACUCCUACGGGAGCAAGCAGUGGGGAAUAUUGCACAAUGGGCGCAAGCCUGAUGCACCCAUCCCGCGUGUAUGAAGAAGGCCUUCGGUUUGUAAAGUACUUUCAGCGGGGAGGAAGGUGAUAAGGUUAAUAACCUCAUCAAUUGACGUUACCCGCAGAAGAAGCACCGGCUAACUCCGUGCCAGCAGCCGCGGUAAUACGGAGGGUGCAAGCGUUAAUCGGAAUUUCUGGGGGUAAAGCCCACGCAGGCGGUCUGUCAAGUCGGAUGUGAAAUCCCCGGGCUCAACCUGGGAACUGCAUUCGAAACUGGCAGGCUGGAGUCUUGUAGAGGGGGGUAGAAUUCCAGGUGUAGCGGUGAAAUGCGUAGAGAUCUGGAGGAAUACCGGUGGCGAAGGCGGCCCCCUGGACAAAGAUUGACGCUCAGGUGCGAAAG